Molecule: long non-coding RNA, 3455 nt
Filed under: Homo sapiens (human)
Lineage: Eukaryota; Metazoa; Chordata; Mammalia; Primates; Hominidae
Description: PREDICTED lncRNA (TCONS_00188974)
Rfam family: SOX2 overlapping transcript exon 2 (bases 482-550)
Source: RNAcentral
GUCGUAAAAGGGGACGCGGAGGAGAAGGAAAGUCGCUCAAGCAGUGGACAGAGCGGAGAAAGCGACUUCGGCCGCAGAGAGAAGAAGCUGCCCAAGAAUGGAAAGGAAGAAAUAUAUCACAUCAUCUGUCUGUCCACAGGCUUUCCUUGGGGCUUAUGAAGUGAAUGAAGGAGGGAAGAAAGGAGAGACAGAGAAAAUAUGGAUUUCCUCAUGGUUGUGAUUCCUCUUCACUCUUUUGAAUUUGGAAGGAUGGCAUACACAUCUGAAAAAUACCACUACUUCCUUCAUUGGACUGCAAGGUAUUUCUGUUUGGAAAAGUAAUGGAGUCCAGUCAACUUCAUUGAUCGCCAAGGACUGUCAAAAUUAUAAAACUUGCUGUGGAGCUCUGACAUGCCAGAAGCCGCUAGAAAAAGAAGUUUGACAUUCAGAAACUUAUCAAGAGGUUCUACUCUUUGGAUAGAGACCAAAAUCAUACUUUGAAAAAGCCUGACAGGUUUCUUCGGAAAAGUGGCCAUCCAUGGAAUGAAUGAAAUGUUCUCUUUCUAUUCCAAUCCAACUUAGAAAUAAUGUUUCAUUCAAGAUAAGGCUCGUGGCUUAGGAGAUUGUGACCUGGCUUGCAUCAUUCUAAGACUUCUAUCGUCUGUUUUCAAAACCCAAGGAGGACCUCCUUUUCUGUGUGAUAGUUCCUCAUGCUUUGCCAGCCACUGGGUCUUUAAGGAAGCUUGCCAAGAGUUCCCGGCUGGGAAGGACAGUUCGAGUUCAUCAUAGACAAUGAGCUGGCACCACAGUUUAAGUGACUCACCAACCUGGUUGCCCACUUCAAAAUGUCAAGAACCACACUAUCUAAUUGAAAGAACUGUGUUUUAGCAAAGUGUAAUUGGAUCGCCUGGCAAGAUCAUCUCAAACUAUGUCUCUGACCUUGCCUUUCAGUGGCUAUUUUGAGCACAAGAGGAGAAAGGAAAUGAUUCCUGAAUUAUAUCUUGUUUUUAAAAAUUAAGAUUAAUUAAUACUUGGUUUUAUGUUCAUUCCAUUGUAGGAACUUAGUGAUUAUUACAAAACAGUCAAAAUAGGUCAUAGCAAAAUGAACGUUUAAGAUUAGGUUAAAACAUUCCUCUGAAAUUUUAGUAUUCACUUUUGAAGUGUCAAUUACUAUAUUUCUGUAAUUUCUCAUUUUUUUCUUGGCUUAGAGUCAAGAUGAAAAAUGAUAUUUGAAUCAAAGACAUUGUUUUGUUAUAUAGCCACUCCUUUCUAAAAUGCAAAUCCACCCUCCCCUCACCAAUGCUUUAUUCUUUGUGCGCGCACACACACACACACACACACACACACACACACACACACACAGACAUACACAGAACCAGCACCCAAAUGGUAGAGGAGGUCCUUCCAAGACUUCUAGGACCUGGAUCAUGUAAGCAGUAGAUGAGAAAAUGAAGUAAGAGAUAUAGAGUAAUAACAAUAAAAGUCAAUGAUUUCAUUUUACAAAAAAGUCAUUGUGUAGUACUCAGAUAUUUUUAAGAGCAAGUAUUAUUAUGACUAAAGUAUAUUAUACUUCUAAAUUAUUAUGAUUCUCAUCUAAUUUCAAGCCACACAUAGGCGCCAUUUGAAAGCAUUUUGUGUUACAACCUAUCAACAAAAAUCAACUAAUAGUUUUAUAACGUGCAUAGGUUUACCCCAUGGGGAAUUAAAAUUUUUAUCUGCAAGUAUUUCUGUUGUUGUGAGACUUUAGGACAAGACAACAUUUGGUGUUAACAUAGAAGAAUAUUCUAUGGCUUUUUUAGCUUUAAAGUUCAUUACUCUAAAAUAAAGUACACGUGGUAUUUUUUUCUUCCUAGUGUUCUCUUAUUAUAUGUAGAGUAUUUUCGGUUGUUGUUUUUAACGUAUACAUUAUUUUUAUUAAGUCAUUUCAUAAAAGAUAAGAUAUAUACUAAUAGACCCUUGGUUUUCUCCUAAUUUAAUUAUUUCAAGUCAAGCAAAAUUGGGCAAUUUUCUUUCAGGAAAAAAAAAAUAUUGAGCAUGAUUUUGAGGUAAAACUGAUUAUUUACAGCAUCUUUUCUCUAAUAGGCUAACAUUUAUGAUGGAUCUUAUUUCAAAGUUGAUUAUUCUCAAAGAAAAGUGGAGAUAUUAGAAUUUCCGAGUAAAUUGCAUUGUUUUAAAAAGUACUUUAAUGCAUUGUUCACAUUGUUGCCAGCUAUUGACCAAAAAAGAGAAGAAGAAAAAAGAAAUAAAAAAAGCAGUAUCUGCUCCAAACGUCAAGUUUUGCAGUUUGAAAGACUUGUACAUUAUAAUUGUUUUUUUCUUUUUUGGAAAGCAGUAGUAAUUAAUACCAAAGGCAUAGACAAUUUAGGGCCAUAACCUCCCUUCCCCCCUCUCCACCUUUUUUUUUUUUUUUUUUUUUUUUUAACUUUAACCAUGAUAGGCAUCUCUGCAAGGUAGGUUUUAACAUAUUUUUUUCCUAAUUUUUUUCCCUCCAUUCAGUAAGAAGGAUAAGCUUUUAGAGUACCCAGUCACCGUGGUAACUGCCAAAAAAAUUCUCCUGAAGUUUGAAGAGGUCAGCUAGCAGGGUCAACAACCCUGGCCUCUCUCUGAGCUCGGUCUAGCAUGCCCCAGCCUGCGGUUGGAGUGUCAGGCCAGAUCUGACCCUGGGAGGUGGACCAUUCUGGCUCUGAUAUAAAUUUUUCGAGUCAGUUCAUGGCCUGGACUCUCCAGGUGGCCUCCAAAAUCGAUUUUGACCCCCUGACCCUGUCUCACGGAGGCAUAGCAUCCACCCUAAGUAAGGAUUUAGCCAGGAAUGACAGCUUUCCACUGAGUGUUAUUGGGGACAGUAUAAACAGUUUGGAAAGCAAGUAAGGAGGUGUGAGGGCUAGCAAUCAUUAAAAGCACAUUAAAAAACAAUUUUUAAAAAUCUUUAUUAGAGAAAGUUGUAAAUGCAUAUCUGUUACAGAAUUCCUGUGAUUUGUAGAGUUUUCUAGUCAGUUUUGAAUAUAAAUAGGUCACAUAUCUUUAUCUUUUUGCAUACUUUGUUACAAAUAUGCAAAUAAGAUAGGCAUACUUGCUACAAAAUAGGUACAGCAGGAAUGUAAUAUGUUCAGAAAAGGCAAACUGGUUAUUAAAACACAUUAACAGGUAAGGAGUUUCUAAUAUUUUAAAUACUAAAAUUUUACAUGUGUAUUUUGAAGUUUUUAAAAUGGAAAAAUAAAGAACCUUUAAAAAACCCAACAGUGUGGAAUAAAGAUAAACUUGUUGCACUCAAGGUACAUUUCUACUUUGUAAAGCAAGAAGCCAAUACACUCAGUUGGAUAAAAAUGAGAGAAAAAUUGUAAAUAUAGAGAGUUACAGCUUAUAGAGCUGAAGAGGAAUAAAACAAAAAAAAGUGUCUCUGAAUAACUUUAUGUAUUUUCAACAGUUUAAGAUAUCAGAAACUUGGAAAAUAAAUAUGAUAUAUAUAUAAAUCAUCA